Non-coding RNA from Equus caballus (horse), 4001 nucleotides. The record is from RefSeq and is a predicted model, not a curated record. NCBI's taxonomy places the organism in Eukaryota, Metazoa, Chordata, Mammalia, Perissodactyla, Equidae.
CAACUAUGACAUUCUGGAAAAGGCAAAACUGUGGAGACAGUAAAAAGAUCAGUGGCUGCCAGUGGUUGCAGAGGGAGCGAUGAAUAGGCGGAGCACAGGGAAUUUUUAGGGCAGUGAAAAUACUCGGCAGGAUACUAUAAUGAUGACUAUACGUCAUUAUGCAUUCGUCCAAACCCACAGAAUGUACAACACCAAGAGUGAGCCCCACGGUAAACCACCACCUUUGAGUGAUUGCGGUGUGUCAGUGUAGGUUCAUCAAUUGUCACAAAUUCUGUACCAUUCUGGUGGGGGAUGUUGAUAAUGGGGGAGGCUACAUGCUCUGGGGAUAGGGGAAUAUGGGAAACCUCUUUACCUUCCUCUCAAUUUUGUUGUAAACCUAAAACUGCUCUAAAAAAACUUGUCUUUAAAAAAAAAUUCGAAUCUAAUGUAUUUAUUCCUUCAAAGGCUGUGCAAAGAAAUGCUUCAAUAUAGAAAAUGCUCUUGUCCCUUAAGAGGUAGUAUGUAAGGUUUUUCUCCCAGUUGUAGGCCCCUGUGGUUCAUAAGUGAAAACAGUCUUCUAAAAACUAAACUAUUGCCACGGCUAGUUUUGAGAUCAGACCAGCCUGGAAUGCGUUCCGCCCACAGCCAGAAACAAAACUAAAGAAAUUUAUGACAUUUUUGUUACAUAACUAAAGGAAACUAUAUAAAAAAUUAAUCUUUUUCAGAUAAUAAAAGGAAUUCUUCUAAUGGGUAAUCCUUUUUCAUUUUUGUACCCUGAGUAUUUUACAUAUUCUCACGGCCCCCAGAUAAGAAACUAAAAAAAAUCGUAACUUAAAAAAAGAACAAAAGGGAAAAUAUUGGUUGUGAGUAGGCAACUUUUGGGGACUUCUUGUGAAAGAUUAGAUGACAAGCUAAGCUAGGAGGCAUUCAAGUGCUUCCUGUUAAAAUUCACACACUGAAAUCUUCCAUAGAAUCACACUGGAGAUACAAGGACAAAAUGGACAAAUUACAGACUAUUUCCCCAACUGUGAAGAUGAUUAAUGCGCUAAGAAAUUCCCUAAAAUUCAUUGGCAUGGCUAGUCUGUAGCUGUUAAGUGAGGCUCCUUUCAGUGCCAGAAUAUCCCCGAAGGACCACAAGUCACUGCCCCCGGACUUCAAAAUGACUCCACAUUUUCUGAUUGGGACUGAGGGAAACAGUCUGUGGCAGCUUGUUUGACAUGAUCACACCGGUACCUAAACCGAUUCUGGGUGCUUGAGAAUGAAUGAGCCAUGGGUCUCCCUUUCUUUUCUGGUUUUGAUUAGAAAGGACGUCUCUAUGGGGGAGCAGGGGAGGAGGAGGUAUGGGCUGGGUGCUAAUUCUUUGAGGUGGGGGAAGAGGCCAGCAAUGUGUACUCGCUACAUCUGCAAGGGAGUGGGGAUGAAUAACAAAAAACAAUAUAGCCAUCAUGUAUUGAGUGCUUACUGUAUACACGUUAGCAGUUAGGCAAGGCUCCAAAUUACCUUCCACACAAUAACAGCCCUCACAACAACCUUAAGAGGAAGCACUAUUAUUACUAUCCCCAUUUUACAGAUUACAAAACUGAGCCUCAGCGAGAAGGGACUUGCCCAAAUUUACACUGCUAGUAAGGAAGAGAGGCAGGAUUUGAACCCAGACAGUGUGGUUCCAGAAAAGAAUAAGCUGUGGGGUGGUGAGGGCAGAAGAUAUAGAAUCUAUACCAGCCCUAUCCGACAAAAGUUUCUGGGAUUACGGAAACAUUCGCUACCUGUGCUGUCCAAUACAGCAGCCACUAGCCACACAUGAAAUUGGCUGGUAAGACUGAGCAACUGAACUUUUAAUUGGAUUUAAUUUUCGUUCAUUUAAAUUAAGAUGUAAAUAGUCACAUGUGGCUAGUGGCUCCUGUAUUGGACAGCACGGUCUAUACCACAGAAAGAGUCCGUGCUGAUGACCGGUGAACCACGAAGCUCUUGGGACGGCUUCCCCAGCCAGCUCCAACAGUUGUAGACUGUGCCCUACACAAGGGCAUCGACUGAGGGCUGAGGACCAGCCCAAGCACCAUCUGCUGUCGGCUUUGGCAAGACACUGCAUGGGCAGUAAGAGGAAUAAUUCAACCCAGAAGAAGAAUGUUUUCUUAAAUUUUUUUUUGUAAUUCAUUCACCCAGCGGGGGUGCUCAUUUUGCAAUUUGCUCUAAAAUGUGGUUUGUGCUAGUGUGUACCCCGAGGCACUUCCCUAUUUUUGUCUUAUAAGAACUCCAAGGACUAGGCUACCAUCUCCUCCAGCACCACGCUGAUUCCUGGACCUGGGUUACUUUCCUGCACAGUCUGCCAUGGAAUGAGACUCAGUUUUAAGACUCCCUCCCUUCCUUUCCCUGUCCCUUCUGUAGACACAGCUAUUUACAGGUUUUCCCUGUGAUUUUGCCAAUAAGGCCUCCAGGGGAAGCAGGAGGAGUUAAGACAUAAUAAACACAGAGAUGCCACCAACUUUUCAGACACCCUGAAAGCCUGCAGAACAGCUCUCCCGAGACUUCAGUGCAACGGCGUCAGAGCCGGGCUGCUCCUUUUAAGGCUCAGUUCUCUGGCCUCUUCACUAGCAAGUCCUUGGGGAGACAGACCGACUCAACCCUUCUCUCUCUUUAUUCCUGAACCAUAACGCUCCUGAGUUGCUUGUCCUUCCUUAAGUCCUCACCCCAGUCCCUGUUCUCUAGCUUUGGAUCCUACCAAACAUUUGAAACUUAUUUCUGGAGUACCUAUCAUGUGUCAGGCACCGGGGGAAACAAGACACAGUCCCUGCUCUCAAGGGAGACUGCAGCCUGGGGAGAGCUACCACUAAGUAAACAGGAAAUAACAACGCAACAAUGUGCUGAGUACCAUGACAUGGGAAAGUGCAAAGUACUGUGGGCACGUAACUAGACUUGAGAGGUCAAGGAAGGCUUUCUGGAAAGAAAACCGUGUCUGAGCCAAGAUAAGGCAGAGAAGAGGCAUCCAAGCGAAAGGGCAAGCUUCAGAAGUCCCACACAGGGCGCUCCACACUCCAGUCUCUCAGAAGCAGUUUGAAUGACCAAAGCAAGGGGACAAGGCCACGUGGAGAACAGAUUGCCAAGGCAAGAUCUCCUGCUUCCCCGCCAUGGUAUCACACUGACUGAACCUGCCCACUCCCGCAACGCCCUGCCUCCAUCUGUGUGCUCCAUCCUUUGCAUCAGAGCCUGCCAGGCUCUCCCUGCCACCACCCCAGGCCCCACCUGAACUUCUCGUGAGGGUCUGUCCAGCCCUCCGCAACAGCACCCAUCACACACUCUUAUUUUCAUACAGGUCAUUGUGUGGGGCACUGUCUUCCCCUCUACAUUUUAAGCUUCAGGAGCAAAGAGAUGCAUUCCUUAUCUCUGCUGCCCGUUCAGUGCUUUACCUGCAAUGUGUGCUAAAUAAAGUUUUAUUGAAUUGAAUUGAUUAAUCUGGUCCUUUCUUCCUUGUUCUGUUGCUAAUAAUUCUAGGCUCUAAAGGAAAAGAAAUGACUAAAGAUUAAUUUAUAAAUUUAACAAAUUUUGUAGAUAAAAUCACGAAUAUCAAAUACAAAUUAUUUUGUGGGGCGCUAAACUACCUUUUAAAUUGGGCUUGAUAUAAUUUCCCUUUUUAAAGGUAGACACCAAUCACUCGUACAUUGCUGAUGGGAAUGUAAAACAACACAGCCACUCUAGAAAAUAGUUUGGCAGUUUUUUAUAAGACUAAAUAUGCGAUUAGCAUAUGAUGCUGCAAUUGCACUCUUGGGCAUUUAUUCCAGAAAAUGAAAAGUUAUGUUCACAUAAAAGCUGAACAUGAAUACGGGACCGGAUCCAUGGCUGAGUGGUUAAAAUUCUGUGUAUUCCACUUUGGCAGCCUGGGUUCAAGGGUUCAUGGCUUUGGAUCCCAGGCACGGACCUACUCCACUCGUCAGCCAUGCUGUGGUGGUGUCCCACAUACAAAAUAGAGGAAGACUGGCAUAGAGGUUAGCUCUCAGGACAAGUCUUCCUCGAGCAAAAAAAAAAAAAAA